AUUGAACGCUGGCGGAACGCUUUACACAUGCAAGUCGAACGGCAGCACGGACUUCGGUCUGGUGGCGAGUGGCGAACGGGUGAGUAAUAUAUCGGAACGUGCCCAGUCGUGGGGGAUAACGUAGUGAGAAUUACGCUAAUACCGCAUACGAUCUAUGGAUGAAAGCGGGGGAUCGCAAGACCUCGCGCGAUUGGAGCGGCCGAUAUCAGAUUAGGUAGUUGGUGAGGUAAAGGCUCACCAAGCCAACGAUCUGUAGCUGGUCUGAGAGGACGACCAGCCACACUGGGACUGAGACACGGCCCAGACUCCUACGGGAGGCAGCAGUGGGGAAUUUUGGACAAUGGACGCAAGUCUGAUCCAGCCAUUCCGCGUGCAGGACGAAGGCCUUCGGGUUGUAAACUGCUUUUGUACGGAACGAAAAGGUCUCUAUUAAUACUAGGGGCUCAUGACGGUACUGUAAGAAUAAGCACCGGCUAACUACGUGCCAGCAGCCGCAGUAA
RNAcentral lists this ribosomal RNA (500 nucleotides) under uncultured bacterium. RNAcentral's name for it is "partial 16S ribosomal RNA". It matches the Rfam family "Bacterial small subunit ribosomal RNA", at positions 30 to 523 of the family's 1533-position model. The record is from RNAcentral.